Molecule: ribosomal RNA, 598 nt
Filed under: Escherichia coli
Lineage: Bacteria; Pseudomonadati; Pseudomonadota; Gammaproteobacteria; Enterobacterales; Enterobacteriaceae
Also listed under: 2 other names
Description: partial 23S ribosomal RNA
Rfam family: Bacterial large subunit ribosomal RNA
Source: RNAcentral
GGGACACGUGGUAUCCUGUCUGAAUAUGGGGGGACCAUCCUCCAAGGCUAAAUACUCCUGACUGACCGAUAGUGAACCAGUACCGUGAGGGAAAGGCGAAAAGAACCCCGGCGAGGGGAGUGAAAAAGAACCUGAAACCGUGUACGUACAAGCAGUGGGAGCACGCUUAGGCGUGUGACUGCGUACCUUUUGUAUAAUGGGUCAGCGACUUAUAUUCUGUAGCAAGGUUAACCGAAUAGGGGAGCCGAAGGGAAACCGAGUCUUAACUGGGCGUUAAGUUGCAGGGUAUAGACCCGAAACCCGGUGAUCUAGCCAUGGGCAGGUUGAAGGUUGGGUAACACUAACUGGAGGACCGAACCGACUAAUGUUGAAAAAUUAGCGGAUGACUUGUGGCUGGGGGUGAAAGGCCAAUCAAACCGGGAGAUAGCUGGUUCUCCCCGAAAGCUAUUUAGGUAGCGCCUCGUGAAUUCAUCUCCGGGGGUAGAGCACUGUUUCGGCAAGGGGGUCAUCCCGACUUACCAACCCGAUGCAAACUGCGAAUACCGGAGAAUGUUAUCACGGGAGACACACGGCGGGUGCUAACGUCCGUCGUGAAGAG